RNAcentral lists this ribosomal RNA (763 nucleotides) under uncultured Streptococcus sp. Its description in RNAcentral is "bacterial SSU rRNA". It matches the Rfam family "Bacterial small subunit ribosomal RNA", at positions 28 to 776 of the family's 1533-position model. The record is from RNAcentral. Lineage: Bacteria; Bacillati; Bacillota; Bacilli; Lactobacillales; Streptococcaceae.
GACGAACGCUGGCGGCGUGCCUAAUACAUGCAAGUAGAACGCUGAAGGAGGAGCUUGCUCUUCUGGAUGAGUUGCGAACGGGUGAGUAACGCGUAGGUAACCUGCCUGGUAGCGGGGGAUAACUAUUGGAAACGAUAGCUAAUACCGCAUAACAACAGUUGUUGCAUGACAGCUGUUUAAAAGAUGCAAUUGCAUCACUACCAGAUGGACCUGCGUUGUAUUAGCUAGUUGGUGAGGUAACGGCUCACCAAGGCAACGAUACAUAGCCGACCUGAGAGGGUGAUCGGCCACACUGGGACUGAGACACGGCCCAGACUCCUACGGGAGGCAGCAGUAGGGAAUCUUCGGCAAUGGACGGAAGUCUGACCGAGCAACGCCGCGUGAGUGAAGAAGGUUUUCGGAUCGUAAAGCUCUGUUGUAAGAGAAGAACGAGUGUGAGAGUGGAAAGUUCACACUGUGACGGUAUCUUACCAGAAAGGGACGGCUAACUACGUGCCAGCAGCCGCGGUAAUACGUAGGUCCCGAGCGUUGUCCGGAUUUAUUGGGCGUAAAGCGAGCGCAGGCGGUUAGAUAAGUCUGAAGUUAAAGGCUGUGGCUUAACCAUAGUACGCUUUGGAAACUGUUUAACUUGAGUGCAAGAGGGGAGAGUGGAAUUCCAUGUGUAGCGGUGAAAUGCGUAGAUAUAUGGGGGAACACCGGUGGCGAAAGCGGCUCUCUGGCUUGUAACUGACGCUGAGGCUCGAAAGCGUGGGGAGCAAACAGG